GACGAACGCUGGCGGCGUGCUUAACACAUGCAAGUCGAACGGAAAGGCCCUGCUUUUGUGGGGUGCUCGAGUGGCGAACGGGUGAGUAACACGUGAGUAACCUGCCCUUGACUUUGGGAUAACUUCAGGAAACUGGGGCUAAUACCGGAUAGGAGCUCCUGCUGCAUGGUGGGGGUUGGAAAGUUUCGGCGGUUGGGGAUGGACUCGCGGCUUAUCAGCUUGUUGGUGGGGUAGUGGCUUACCAAGGCUUUGACGGGUAGCCGGCCUGAGAGGGUGACCGGCCACAUGGGGACUGCGAUACGGCCCAGACUCCUACGGGAGGCAGCAGUGGGGAAUAUUGCACAAUGGGCGGAAGCCUGAUGCAGCAACGCCGCGUGCGGGAUGACGGCCUUCGGGUUGUAAACCGCUUUCGCCUGUGACGAAGCGUGAGUGACGGUAAUGGGUAAAGAAGCACCGGCUAACUACGUG
Molecule: ribosomal RNA, 468 nt
Filed under: uncultured bacterium
Lineage: Bacteria
Description: partial 16S ribosomal RNA
Rfam family: Bacterial small subunit ribosomal RNA
Source: RNAcentral